UGGCAAGGGACCUAAUUUGGAUACGCUUGGAAAGAGUAUUCCCAGGAUUAAAACAACAAUGGAUUGGUUUCAGGGUAGAUACCAGCGUUGCCAAGACACGCUCCAUAAACCAAUUAGGCUUCCUUUCACUUUAAUUGUUUCAUUGGGGGAUUCAAGUCUCCUUUUGGCUUCGCAUGACCAAGAUAUUUGUCUAAAACUAAACACAUGGCCCAAUCCAACCAAAAUGUCCUCUCUCUCUCUCUCUCUCUCUCUCUCUGUUUGUUCAUUGACUCAUUCCAAACAGGCAGCUUUAGCCAGGAGUGCCAGAUGGGCAGGGUUCACUCUUUUGUGACUGUUCAUGUAUUGGUUCCAAUGCACAAGACACGCUCAAUCAAAUUCAGAUCUGAUACAAUGAUGAUGAACAUUAGGUCAAAUGUUAAGAGAUUUGCACAGCUUACUUCACUGUCUGAAGAGCUGCUGUCAGAGGAGGAGGAGGAGGAGGAGGAGGAAGAGGAUGAACUGGAAUCCUGUGUACAAGAAGAAAAGCUUCUUCUUUUUCUUUUCCUUCUUGCCUUUGUCCUCCUCCUCGCUGUCUGAAGAUGGGGAGCUGUGGAAUGAGUACAAGUCAACCUGAAGGAGAGAGAGACUGCAAUUGUUACAACUUGACAGAUGGAUAUGACGGAGUAAAAUUAGAUGAUCGUCCUGCAGGGGCUCUGGGGUCCGUCUUGGCUGCGUUAGUGGUGUCGGUUGAAGACAGCCCUCCCAGCCCUCCAUGCUCUUCAAGCUUCUGUUCACUCCUCCCAGGCUGGAGUUCAUCCAGGUUGCUCAGGACAACUUGUCCUCCCUCUCCAUCUCCUCCAGGCCCUCCCCCUGGAGCUACACAAACCAGCAUAGAUUACCGUACUACACAGUUAUGUGUUCCAUUCACAAAUCAAUAUGUUUAUUGUAUUGUACGGGUUGGACUAUAUUUUCAGUCAUCUUAGCCUUGUACAAAUCAUCUAUCCUAUUAUACAAAUCACCUACACACUGAGGCUUUUGUGGUGCGAACAACAUUAAAUACAAUACAAAAAAAACAAUAACCAGAGUAUCAAAAAUGCAUAGGUACUGAUCAUGUGUGAACGGCAUAAAUGUGUUUUAAUAUUAUGGAUAAAACAUUAUCUGAUGCCUUUCCUUAUUUCUCACACUGUACUCCAUCCCAUGUAAUGAUGCAUUAUCUGAUGCCUUUCCUUAUUUCUCACACUGUACUCCAUCCCAUGUAAUGAUGCAUUCGCCUCAGAGUACAUUUGUAGCCAUAAUGCACAAACCAAAUUGACUACAUCUACAUAUUGUCUGUUCUAAGUAGAAGAAGUAGCAGAUGCAUUAAUUUUGCAUGUUGACUGACAACAACAGUGGAGAAUUGCAUGAUUUUUUUGAUUUCAGAUGUCUUUGCAUGACUGCAAAGAAAUACUAAUAAUUGUACAGCUUUAAACUACAGCUCACCGCUUCAAAUGUCAUGUAUCUACAUUUUCCAAUUACACCUAAAGUAGAAUGGGGUGGAAUAUACAGUUGGUGAUAAUGAGAAAUGAUUGUUACUUUUACCGGGGAACAUACUUAAAGAACGAGACCCAUUACAUUUUUAGACCACAUCAAGCUUUAAACAUACAGUAUGCCGGUAAUCUAUAAAGGCAUGUGCGCUAAUGUCACCAAAGGUGCGCUAAAGUCACCAAAGGUGCGCUAAAGUCACCAAAGCUGCGCAAAAGUCACCAAAGGUGAGCAAAAGUCACUAAAAGUGCAUAGAUCACCAUACCUUUGGGUCGGUUGAACUCCAUUCAACUCAACAGCCGCUCCAGUUACACCUUGCCGUUGGCUGUGAAUGGAUGAUAUGACUGAGUUACACUGAUAGGAAGUCCUUUAUUCUGGCCAUUGGCCAAGGUGUGGGUAUUGUGUUGUGUUGGCCUGUGCAGAACAGGUAAAUCCGGUUUCACAGUAAUGGGCUGACCUUUCACAUUUCAUGUUGAAUAUUAGUCUAAUAUCUUAAAAAAUACACUAUAUUGCUUGUAUCUGAUCUAUAUUAUCUGUUUUUCUAAGUUUGUCCAAACAUAUCUCUUCUCACAGUACAUGGAGGCAAAAAAAUUAAAAAGUGUAUUUCCUAUAAACAAACAUUUGUCUUAACAUCACACAUGGCAGUAUGGUCAGUGCUCCUUGCGCAAAGUAAGGGUGCAUUAUGACACAGAGUUGCACUGAAUACAUUUUGAGAUCUUGGAGUGCUCGAAUUGAGCUCUCAACUACAGCCACAGGGCAAAUUAUGGACAUUGUUUGGUUAGAAUUGAAAGGAUUAUGCUCAAAUGCCAUUAUUUUUCUGUAAUACUUUAAACCAUUGGUUUAACUCUAACAGUUCAGAAGGUCACCAUCUGUCACGAUCGUCGUAAGAAGCGUGCCAAAGCGCAGCGUGGUGGGAAUGCAUCAUUUAAUAGAUGACAAAAAACAAGAAGUAAACUGUACAAAAACAAUAAACGACCGUGACGCUAUCAUAAGAACUGUGCUGACACAAGCAACUAACAUAGACAAUCACCCACAAACAAACAGUGAAACCCAGGCUACCUAAGUAUGAUUCUCAAUCAGAGACAACUAAUGACACCUGCCUCUGAUUGAGAACCAUACUAGGCCGAAACGUAGAAAUCCCAAAAUCAUAGAAAAACCAACAUAGACUGCCCACCCCAACUCACGCUCUGACCACACUAAAUAAAGACAAAACAAAGGAAAUAAAGGUCAGAACGUGACACCAUCCCUUCUUUAUUUAAAUGUCAAAACAUAUUAUUCUAUUUGUGUAGUCUACCCUUCACAACACUUGGCUAGUAGGCUACAUGGUUUUUAAAUGACUAAUACCCAAUUAACUUGUGAGAGACGCAAACUCGGUCUCAACCUUUAAGUCUUUACUGAAAACUCAUCUCUUCAGUGGGUCAUUUGAUUGAGUGUAGUCUGGCCCAGGAGUGUGAAGGUGAAAGGAAAGGCUCUGGAGCAACAAACCGCCCUUGCUGUCUCUGCCUGGCUCUUUCCACUGGCAUUCUCUGCCUCUAACCCUAUUACAGGGGCUGAGUCACUGGCUUACUGGUGCUCUUUCAUGACGUCCCUAGGAGGGGUGCGUCACUUGAGUGGGUUGAGUCACUGAUGUGAUCUUCCUGUCUGGGUUGGCGCCCCCCCCCCCCCCUGGGUUGUGCUGUGGCGGAGAUCUUUGUGGGCUAUACUCGGCCUUGUCUCAGGAUGGUAAGUUGGUGGUUGAAGAUAUCCCUCUAGUGGUGUGGGCUCUGUGCUUUGGCAAAGUGGGUGGGGUUAUAUCCUUCCUGUUUGGCCCUGUCCGGGUGUAUCAUCGGAUGGGGCCACAGUGUCUCCUGACCCCUCCUGUCUCAGCCUCCAAUAUUUAUGCUGCAGUAGUUUGUGUCGGGGGGCUAGGGUCAGUUUGUUAUGUCUGGAGUACUUCUCCUGUCUUAUCCGGUGUCCUGUGUGAAUUUAAGUAUGCUCUCUAAUUCUCUCUUUCUCUCUUUCUUUCUCUCUCUCAGAGGACCUGAGCCCUAGGACCAUACCUCAGGACUACCUGGCAUGAUGACUCCUUGCUGUCCCCAGUCCACCUGGCCGUGCUGCUGCUCCAGUUUCAACUGUUCUGCCUGUGACUAUUAUUAUUUGACCAUGCUGGUCAUUUAUGAACAUUGGAACAUCUUGGCCAUGAUAUGUUAUAAUCUCCACCCGGCACAGCCAGAAGAGGACUGGCCACCCCCCAUAGCCUGGUUCCUCUCUAGGUUUCUUCUCUAGGUUUUUGCCUUUCUAGGGAGUUUUUCCUAGCCACCGUGCUUCUACACCUGCAUUGCUUGCUGUUUGGGGUUUUAGGCUGGGUUUCUGUACAUCACUUUGAGAUAUCAGCUGAUGUACGAAGGGCUAUAUAAAUACAUUUGAUUUGAUUUGAUUUAAACUUCCGACUUCAACUGUAGGUCCUGGAUGACAAGAAGCUUGGCCCUACUACUGGUUUGAGGAGUUAGCGAACUAACUUUGGUCAACUCUGAGUUCAACUUGGGAUAACCGGUACCACUAAAGUGGUUCACCUUUUAGCCUGGUAAAUUUCUAUGGAAAAGAACCCUUUAGAACUAACCAGGCUAACUCAGGACUAAGUCAAUUUAUCCUGAAUGAAGUGUCUGAGAUGUGAGUUGAGGACCAAUGAAAUCAGAUUGCCUCCCUCCCGCAAAGAUUGUGCCAUCAUCCGUUUCAUUGGCAUUUUUACGUGUAAAAAAAUUGAAUUGUUAAAAUACCUAUCAUAUUACACAUUUAGUAAUGACAGAAUGCAUUUGAAACUUCACACGCAGUAAAACCUUUGUAUUACUAAAUCAAAUUAUUUUGUCGAUAGGAGUGGGAGAAAAGGUGCUUGUGCAUUGAUAAGCAGACCAAAGUACACCAUAGACGGCAUUAACGAUAAGUAAGAAAACAUAGACAGCACUUCUAAAAACCUGUUUCACACCAUAGCCUGCUUAAUUUGCAAGAUAACUUUUCUUUCAUUUUGAUUUCGGUUACAAAUUAAAAUGUGGCACUGACACGCCCAUGGAUUGAUGUUUCAGCAUUGUCUCAAUGAAGAGUUCCUCGUUCGAUUGGCCACAUGCGACAUUUGAGUUAGUGGCAGGCAGAAGAGGAAUAUCCAUGAAGCCUGAGCUGGAAUGUGAAGCUAAUUAAAGCUGGCUAGCUUUAGAAAAUCCACACAUAGAUCUAGCUUGCUUCUUAGUAUACCCCUCUGGACACAUUUUUAAAAUACUAAACCUUCCCCAGCAACAAAAUUGAAAAAGCAUGACCCUCCCCAAAAUUCCUUCAUGUAGAGCUAGGAAUACAAGAGUUUCACUACACCCGCAAUAAAAUCUGCUAAAUAUGUGCAUGUGACCAAUAAAAUAUGAUUUGAU
Molecule: long non-coding RNA, 4892 nt
Organism: Oncorhynchus kisutch (coho salmon)
Lineage: Eukaryota; Metazoa; Chordata; Actinopteri; Salmoniformes; Salmonidae
Source: Ensembl